Orbicella faveolata is the source of this 1068-nucleotide long non-coding RNA. RefSeq lists it as uncharacterized. NCBI's taxonomy places the organism in Eukaryota, Metazoa, Cnidaria, Anthozoa, Scleractinia, Merulinidae. The record is from RefSeq and is a predicted model, not a curated record.
UUAUCGUAGUUUCAGAGGAGAUGGAAUGUAGAGACGUGUUUGUUGACAACUUAUGAGGACCGUCCCUGGACGAAGGUGAGAUUUUAACAGAAAACCAAGUGACUCAUGGCUUCUACAGUCAGCGUGUAGCAGUUAUCCAGAUCAGAUGACAUCAGUGGCGAAGUGGAUCAAAACUUCAAGCUAUUAUCUUUAGAAGGGCUGCAUGUUUUAUUUUGCAAUCCAGCUUUUGGGUGAACCAGGUAAAGAAAGCUCUUGAAUAAGCCAAGUUCAACAUUGAUAAAUUGAAUUCAGUCAUGCAAUCUAUUCUGCCAUGGUUGAUUUACACGAUGAAUAACAGAGCUCUCAGAUAACAUUUUUUUUAACAAAUACUGUUUUGAAUUUACUAGUUGUCAGCAAAUAAUUGUUAAAAUAUUCCUUAGCCCUGUUCAAAAGUCCUACUCGACCAACAGACUAUUUAACUAACUGACUGAUCAAUCGCCUGAUUGAUUUGCUGACUGAUUGACACACUGAUGGAUGGUCUAAUGGACUGACUGAUUGACAGACUGACAGACUGACAGACGAUGGAAGAACAGACGGACGGAGUGACUAACCAACUGACUGACUGAUUGAUUGAUUGAUUAAUUGACUUAGAAAUGGACUGACUAGUCAAUUGCCCGAUUGAUUGACUGACUGAUGGAUGAUCUAAUUUACUGACUGACUGACUGACUGAUGGACAGAAGAACAGAUGGAUGGAAGAACGGAAGGAGGGACUGACUAACCAACUGACUGACUGUCUGAUUGACUGACUUAAAAAUGGACUGACUGGUCAAUUGCCUGAUUGAUUGACUGACUGAUGGAUUGUCUAAUUUACUGACUGGCUAACUGAUUGUCAGACAGGCUGGCUGACUGGCUGACUAAUGGACUGACAGACUGACUGAAUGACUGGUGGAUGGUCUAAUUGACUGACUGCCUGACUAACUGUCUGACAGGCAGAUGAAAUGAUUAAAUUAUUGACUGAUUGGGACUGAUACUGACUGGCCAACUGACUGACUGACAGACAGACAGACUGAUCAACUGACUGACUGACUG